RNAcentral lists this ribosomal RNA (460 nucleotides) under uncultured bacterium. RNAcentral describes it as "partial 16S ribosomal RNA". It matches the Rfam family "Bacterial small subunit ribosomal RNA", at positions 338 to 795 of the family's 1533-position model. The record is from RNAcentral.
CCUACGGGAGGCAGCAGUGAGGAAUAUUGGUCCAUGGGCGCGAGCCUGAACCAGCCAAGUCGCGUGAGGGAGGACGGCCCUACGGGUUGUAAACCUCUUUUGCCGGGGAGCAACGGGCGUCACGUGUGGCGCCACUGAGAGUACCCGGAGAAAAAGCAUCGGCUAACUCCGUGCCAGUAGACGCGGUAAUAAGGAGGAUGCGCGCGUUAUCCGGAUUGUUUGGGUUGAAAGGGUGCGUAGGCGGAUCGUUAAGUCCGUGGUCAAAUGGAGGGGCUAAACCCCUUCCCGCCAUGGAAACUGGCGCUCUUGAGUGGAAGAGAGGUAUGCGGAAUGCGUGGUGUAGCGGUGAAAUGCAUAGAUAUCACGCAGAACCCCGAUUGCGAAGGCAGCAUGCCGGCUUCCGACUGACGCUGAAGCACGAAAGCGUGGGGAUCGAACAGGAUUAGAUACCCCUGUAGUC